GUUUUAAUAGUUUAAAAAACGUCGGUCUUGUAAACCGAAAAUGAGAAAGUUUCCCCCCUCUCUUAAAACU
RNAcentral lists this transfer RNA (70 nucleotides) under Gomphocerus sibiricus (Siberian grasshopper). RNAcentral describes it as "tRNA-Thr". It matches the Rfam family "tRNA". Rfam says of the family: Transfer RNA (tRNA) molecules are approximately 80 nucleotides in length. Their secondary structure includes four short double-helical elements and three loops (D, anti-codon, and T loops). Further hydrogen bonds mediate the characteristic L-shaped molecular structure. tRNAs have two regions of fundamental functional importance: the anti-codon, which is responsible for specific mRNA codon recognition, and the 3' end, to which the tRNAs corresponding amino acid is attached (by aminoacyl-tRNA synthetases). tRNAs cope with the degeneracy of the genetic code in two manners: having more than one tRNA (with a specific anti-codon) for a particular amino acid; and 'wobble' base-pairing, i.e. permitting non-standard base-pairing at the 3rd anti-codon position. The record is from RNAcentral. Lineage: Eukaryota; Metazoa; Arthropoda; Insecta; Orthoptera; Acrididae.